This 253-nucleotide ribosomal RNA is filed under the name uncultured bacterium. RNAcentral describes it as "partial 16S ribosomal RNA". It matches the Rfam family "Bacterial small subunit ribosomal RNA", at positions 524 to 776 of the family's 1533-position model. The record is from RNAcentral.
UACGAAGGGGGCUAGCGUUGCUCGGAAUUACUGGGCGUAAAGCGCACGUAGGCGGAUUGUUAAGUCGGGGGUGAAAUCCUGGAGCUCAACUCCAGAACUGCCUUCGGUACUGGCGAUCUCGAGUUCGGGAGAGGUGAGUGGAACUGCGAGUGUAGAGGUGAAAUUCGUAGAUAUUCGCAAGAACACCAGUGGCGAAGGCGGCUCACUGGCCCGAUACUGACGCUGAGGUGCGAAAGCGUGGGGAGCAAACAGG